GGAUGCGAUCAUACCAGCACUAAAGCAUCGGAUCCUAUCAGAACUCCGAAGUUAAGCGUGCUUGGGCGAGAGUAGUACUAGGAUGGGUGACCUCCUCGGAAGUCCUCGUGUUGCUUCCCU
RNAcentral lists this ribosomal RNA (120 nucleotides) under Aegilops tauschii. The record is from RNAcentral. Lineage: Eukaryota; Viridiplantae; Streptophyta; Magnoliopsida; Poales; Poaceae.